Molecule: RNA transcript, 5985 nt
Organism: Pseudopipra pipra
Lineage: Eukaryota; Metazoa; Chordata; Aves; Passeriformes; Pipridae
Gene: LDLRAP1
Gene name: low density lipoprotein receptor adaptor protein 1
Exons: 10
Source: RefSeq, a predicted model, not a curated record
GGACGCGGUCAGCGCUGGCGCCGCAGCAAAGUUUGCGGCGGGGCCGGGCCGGGAGGCGCCGGGAUGGACGCGCUGAAGUCGGCGGGUCGUGCCCUGCUGCGGAGCCCCAGCGUCCACAAACCCUCCUGGGCCGGCGGCCGGCACAAGAAGCUCCCAGAGAACUGGACUGACACCCGCGAGACGCUGCUGGAGGGGAUGCUCUUCAGCCUCAAGUACAUGGGGAUGACACUGGUGGAGCAGCCCAAGGGAGAGGAGCUCUCUGCAGCUGCUGUCAAAAGGAUUGUGGCCACUGCGAAAGCAAGUGGGAAGAAACUGCAGAAAGUGACUCUGAAAGUCUCUCCCCGGGGGAUCGUGUUGAACGACAGCAGCACGAACGAGCUGAUCGAGAACAUCUCCAUAUACAGGAUAUCCUACUGCACGGCAGACAAGAUCCACGAUAAAGUGUUUGCCUACAUUGCCCAGAACCAGCUCAAUGAGAACCUGGAGUGCCAUGCCUUCCUCUGUACCAAACGGAAAAUGGCACAGGCUGUCACCCUCACCGUGGCACAGGCCUUCAAAAUCGCCUUUGAGCUCUGGCAAGCAGCUAAGGAAGAGAAGGAAAAGCGGGAAAGGUCCAUCUUGGAAGGAGAAGGGACGAGCAGCCCCAGCUCAGAAGCCCCUGCCUGCCCUGACACACCAGCAGCCACGGGGAACUUGCUGGAUUUUGAAGAUCCUGCCAAAUCACCCCUGAGCAGCAGCACAGACCCCCCCCACUUGGAUAACAGCAUGUUUGGGCCCAGCUCCUCUGUGAACAACAACGUGGUGUGGGAAAUGGAUGAUGGUCUCGACGAGGCGUUUUCAAGGUUGGCUCAGUCAAGAACAAACCCUCACGUCCUCGACACGGGGCUGACAGCUCAGGACAUCCAGAGUGCAGAAACACUCUCCCCUGUAGACUGGAACAAAAUAGAUUCCACCACAGGCGAGAAGGAUGAUCUGUUCAUGUUCUGAGGUCAAAUGCAUCUAAGAGCUGACUAGAGAAUAACCACUAAAACUCUCUGGACUGGAUCGUGCUGUUGCAGGUGCUGUACACAAGGGACUCUCCUAAGGGCUCUUCGCCAGGUCAGGUGAUGUUACAGCACAGUUUAGACCAAAGCUUUAGAAACCUGAUGCAGAUUUUUAUACCUUGUUUUUAUCUAAACCACGAGAUGCUCUUGAACAUAUUUAUUCCCAGCCAUUACCGUUUACAUGUGUUAUUGGAAGGCGUGGAGAGCAUCUACAGUGUUACGUGGCAAUAAUACCAUGGGAGAACCUUCAGCAGUGCCUGUUGCUCUCUGAAAACAGACUGUGCACCACCAAAGUCCCUCUGUGUGUAUCCUCUAGACAAAGGUCUGCAGAUGCAAAUGCAAUUCCAAGCACAACUGUUACUAAUCCACUGAUUCUUGAACAACACGUCACCUGCCUGGGCGAGGGGAGGAGAUUUGCAGCAGCUGCUGACAGUGUUAAAUCAAAGAGGUGGCAGAGAUCUUGCUUUUGUAUGAAUGUCUGUGACACUCUCACAGUUGUCAAUCACCCCUGUGGGUUCUGGCCGUUUCUUCACCAGCUCCAUGUGGGAAUUGACACUUUUUUUACCCAAAGACUCUACGAAGUUUUGCACUUUAAAACUUGAACUGAAAGCAAUGGUCCGAGUUGUCAAGGUAAGCAGUGCCUGUAUUUUCUCUUCAGAAGCUAUUUACCCAAAAAUAACCCAACCUGGCAAUGCUGCAGCUCUGUUUCAAAGCUGAUUCCUCAUGUCCACCAUCUCUGAUGCGACUCAAAAUACUGAAGCUCCUUUGCACUGUUGGCUUUGAAAGCAAAACCACCAAGGAGGAAUGAUUUGUUCUGCUAAAGCGUGUUGGAAGUGGCAGCUUGGGUGGACCAGCAGCAGGAUAGGUCUGUGUUCUCAGCCUGGCUGAGUGGAUUUGCCUGUCCAUGACUUCUUACUGCCUCAAAACCAUUUGGUUGUUGCUCACUCGAUGGACUCCAGUGGAAUUGGAUUGGGCCAGACCAAUACCUGGAUGUUCAGUUAGCAAGAGGUGCCCCUUCCAGGUACUUGGAUCCCCUGCUCCCCGACAGCCACAGCUCCCAGGAGGCUCAGGAAGCUGCUUCAUCUGCUCCUGGAACUGAAAAUAAGUAAUGGAGCAGGAAGUGAUUGGAAACAUCCUUAGGAGGUGUGUGUCUGUUGGACAGCUGAUUCCAGUGCCAUCCAGGUGGGAAGAGGGCUGCAGUCAGACACUAGUCCGUGGUUCUGCUUCCAGGAAAUGCUUAUGGGACUGGAUGUUGCCCCCUGGGAUUCACAGAGGGAUGUACAGUCUGUCCCUGCAUUGGCCUCCAGGUAAGGGGGUGGUGAUGGGUGAGGAGAGGGAGGUCAGUGCUUCAUGCUCAUCUGCAGAAAAACGUGAUGCCAGUAGCAUCAAACCCCCAAAAUCUCUUUAAUUUAUAUAAUUUCUGAGUCACAAAGUGCUUCUCCCUGGGGGGGAGCUGAAUUUGUACAGCUGCCUUUUAAAUAAAAACAGCCUGGAGAGCCCAGCACAGCCCUGUGUGCUCAGCAUCCCUUUGCAAUUCCUGCCUUUGCUGGGCUCCUGCACUUCCCAGCCAACCAGGCUGCCAACCUUGUCUGGGAAGUGCAUUGGGAAACCCAUCUGGGGUGCUGACAGGUUUAACCUGCCACCCACUCCCUUUGGGGUGUUGGAGUGGGGCUGCGGGUGGAGCUUUGCAGAGACACCUCUCAUCCCACAGUGCUGACAAAAAAAAAGGGCUAAAAGUUCAUUUUUCAGUUUAAAUUGCCUGUUCCAGGGUGAGCUGUCCCAGAUUAUGAGUGCUGAGCACUGGCAGCCUGUGCCUUCAUGCAUAACUGAUGGCGGUGCUGAGGAACAAAUUGAUCUUUCCGUUCGCAUGUGACCUUUUUUUAACCGCCGGUUAAGAAACUUUCAGCAUCCAUUUCCUUCCCCUCUGACGGCUGCGAGAGAGGGAGGGGGGAGGCUCAGGUGGGCUGGGGGAGCUGGUGGCUCCUCUCCCCUCAGCCCCGUGUUUUUCCAGGGGGGACAUGGAGGGAUUGUGCUGCCCGUUCCCUCCCUCGGAGCAGCCGCAGCAGCGGCAGCAGAGGUGUUGGCGUGGGCUGUGCUGUGAAAGGCUGGUCUGUCACCCUGCGCUGGCACGGGGUGUGGACGGGAUGGAACAGCUCCAUCCAUCCCACAGCCGGUAGCCAGCGUGGGCGAGGGAGCCGACACAGAGCCCGUCUUCAGCCUCCCCCUCAAAUCACCUCUAAGGAAGCAGAACCUGCAGCUCGCACGAGCCACGUGCUGCUUCGGGGCUUAAUGUUUUAAAGUGCUGGGUGCUGCAACUCGUUAAACUCCUUCAGAGCAUCCCCAAAAGUGCAGCAGCGAGCCCAGCUUGCUGCUGCCAAGUUGCAGGCUGGGUUUAGGUGGAGAUGUUAAGUUUUGUCAAGUGUUGCUGUUCCCUCUGCUCAACGAGGGCUCUUGAAUGAUGGCUGUUGUUCUGUGAGUCGAGGCCAAACCCAGCUCGAAGGUUACAAACCAGCUGCUUCAGGGAAGUGCUGAGCUGUGGAGCACGAGGGUGUGCAGUGUGACAGGUACCGAGCCCUGAACCUCUCUCCUCUCCUCAGAGCACCAAGAGGGUUUGUAGCUUCGUGCCAAGCUUGAGCAAAAGCUGCAGAGCUGUGGUUCCCCCAAACUGUCCUUUUUUCCACGCACAAAUAGAGCCACCUUUCAUCUGAACACCUGAAUGCUGCCUUGUGGCUCUUACAGCCAGCCCUGGGCUGCCGGGAGCCGUGGGCUGCCCUGCGAGGCUUUCUGUGCUCUGCAGCAAGAAAUAACAGUGCUGUGGAGAAGCACAAGUGCCUUUUGGCUGGGGAUGGAGGGAGGACUGGGUGGGAAAGGGGGGUGUUGGUUGAGCACUGCUGUGCCCCUCUGACGUGUCAGCCUUGCGUGCCGGCUGCCUGCGAAGAUGAGAUUUGUCCUGUGGAAGCCAAGGGGAGCUGAACCAGAAAACACAGGCAGUGUUUGCCAACAGCCCAGGGCAGGGUUGGCUCAGGAGGAGCUCACCACGGGUCAGCACGCAGUGCUGGAGGGGUAUUUUGUGCAUGUGUCUCUGCCUCUGCUUUUGAACUUCUCCCCAGGUUUGAAGUGCUCAGUGCAGGAGUGAUCCCACAGCACAGCCACCCUUGGUCUGCAUGAAUGAGGGGUGAGGGUUUACUCUGCCAACCCCCUUCUGCAUGUGAAAGCAUCUCCCUCUGAGAAAAGCCAUAAUUUCAGUGCCAAAAAUCUGUAAACUGGUCAAAAAUUAACUUUUUUAUGCCCCCUUCCUUAACUUUUAUGCCCCUAAAUCCUGCUGACCAUCUGUCCCACCCACCCCAGGCUCCCCAGGUCAUGGCCCCAAGGCUGCCAGAGCUCAAGGGGUGUUUGGACAAGGCUCUCAGGCCCAGGGUGGGAUUGUUGGGGUGUCUGUGCAGGGCCAGGAUUUGGAUUUGAUGAUCCUUGUGGGUCCCUUCCAGCUCAGGAUAUUCCAUGAUUCUGCCGGCAUCUGACUGUGAGCAAUUUAUCAAGAGUGAGUGGAUUCUGCUUAUGACAGAGGGAGUCUUAAUAUUGCAUUACUUCAUUUAUUUAGCACCUCUCCUCUGAUGCUCAGGGGAAGGACAACGGGAGAGAGCAUUGGGGAUUGCUGGGAGUUGGUUGUUAUUUUUCUUCCCUGCUAAAAGCAGACGUCUCCAGCUGGUUCUUGGCUCCGAGGAGGAACAUUGGCUUUACAAAAAGGAGGGAUGUCAAGUCAUUAAAAGCUGCAGGAAGAGGAAGUCUUCUGAGGUGGGAGUGGAAAUGGGGCCAGAGAGCUGGAGCCAAGACAGCAGAUGUAGUAAGUGCAGGAAGACUGGAGGCAGUUGCACAGGGUAAUGUGCAGGUAGAAGGUAAUUAGUGACCGAGUGCCUGGUUAAUUAAGUGCCACCAGCCUCUCACGCUGGACACACACUUGGUCCUGUCCCUGCUGGGCUCUGAUCUUCUUUGGUAGCGACUCCUUCUCCCUCCUGGCUCUGGAGCAGCUCCCAGCACGGCAGCUCCUGCCCAGCAGAGCCAGAGGGACCCUCAGCUCUGCCCGGAAAGCGGAUUAGGAGCUCUGCUAUCGGGGCCACGCGCCGCUGCUGGCCCGUGGCCAGCGUGUCUGAGCAGGGCCCUGGAGCCUGGGGCUCUGCCUCCCGCCCAGCACCCGGCUGGCACCACUCACCUUUGGCAGCUCCCAGCCUCUCCUGGGGCACUGCCCUGCUGGCAAGCUGUCAGCCCGGGCUGUGAGCACAGACGUGGCUUUGCAACUGAGGGCUCACUCCUGGUUCCCCGUGGCGUGGUCUUUGGAAGCCCCACAGGGGCUGGGCUGUGCCAGCCAACCCAGCGUGGGAGCACCAGGAAGGGACCCUGUGGCCUCCCAGCCCUUCCCUCUCUCCACUUUUCCUUUCCAGGAGCCAGGUGAUUCUCACCAAAGUCAUCAGGGCCACCGUGCUCCCCUCCCUGCGAAAGGAAGGAUCAGGAGAGGCAGGUUGGGAACAUCGACCCCGUCGAGGUUUGGCUCUGAAAUCCCCGCUGGCUCCUGUGAUUUAUCACUCACCCAGCUGCUGCUCUCAGCUUGGAAAGGAGAAGCGAGGAGGGAAAAAUAUGGAUUUUUAAAAGCUUGGCUUUAAAGCCCACGGGCUCAGGCCAAGGCUCCUGUCCUGGCUGAGGGAACGGGGUGGGAACCACGUUGCUGGUCACAACUGGAAUAAAACAGCCACCCACGUCAGGCUGUGGCCAAGCAGGGAUUCUGCUGCCUGCUCGUCCUUGGCACACAGGUCUUUUGAGCUGUGACAUGAGGAAAAACAGUGUUUGGGUGCCAGUUUAUUCCCCAGGCACCUUGUUUGCCCCAAACUUUUGCCAUCACCGUUUCCACUUCGGAAUCACCGAGCCAUCAUCUCUCCGGCCACACGGGGGG